UUGAAUAUUCAAGCCUUUAAAUAACAUUCUCCUUCUUAAAAAAAAAAUAAAAAAAAAUAAUAGAAGUUUUUGCUAUAUUUAUGGAAACAAAUCCAAGAACCGCUACAGAUCAUUAAACCAAAUCCUUUAACUUUCCCUCUAUAUAUUCAUAUUAGGGCUAAGAAUAUAUACUGUACUGUAUAUUUUUCUUUCCGCUCAUAUCUGUAUAUUAGGGCGAAGAAUAUACACUGUCUAUUUUUCUUUCCCUUCCUAUCAGUAUAUUUUUAGUAUUCUUUCGGAAACAAAUCAAGGCUCUCAUAUGGAAGGAAAUACGUGGAGGAAAAGAAAAAGGAAUUUAACAUAAAUAGAUCUGUUCUUUCUUAACGAGACCUAAUGACGAAUUUUAUUCUAAUCGUAACCUUUCUUACACUUAUACAGAAAAUUACCAGCCGUUUCAAAGAAAAAAAAAAAAAAAAAACACCUAGCUUUAUUUUUUCUACCUCUCUUCUUAUGGAACCCUAAUUUUUCUUUUGUUUCAAUCGUCUUUAUAUGAUUUCAUCAUAGUUACCAUGUCUAUUUUAAUGCAUUUUAUUAGUACUUUUUUUUACUGAUUUAGAAGCUUUUAUUUGUUUUCUGCAGAAAGACUAAACUGUGGCGAUUUGAUAAAGACGGAAAUCAGUUGAAAGAUAGAGGAGUUGAAACUGUAAAGCUUCUUAAACAUAAAGACACUGAAUUAAACUCUGUUGAUAAUCAUCUAGCUUCCUCGGUUGUACUUCAUGCCGUUCAUCAGUAUUUUUCCUGCUAUGUAUUUUGACUCCGUCGGUUCAUUUAUGCAUUACUCACAUAUUACUACUCAUAUAUUAUAUACACAAGUGAUGUUUGGGGAGGCUGAAGGUGGGUCUUUAUUUUGGAACAAUGUAUGUUCAAAAGAAGGUGCUAAGCUACUACGUGCUGCUAGGUAUGUUUCUAUUAGUUACUCGGCGAUUACACGGGUAUCUGAUGCAUUUUCGAAGGAAAUAGUACAACAUCUUGACUUAGCCUAAGAUAAGUGUGGUUGGUGCAUGCAAGGGUAUAGGUUUAACGGCUUGAUAGAAUCGCUCAAUUUGGAUGUGGCCCGUGCAUUUGACGGGUUCAAAUUGCUCCUCUGCUUUACCCAGUGAUGCAGAGUUAGUCUCUAUGGAUGUGGGUAUAAAAUUCUUCAAAAUCUGUAAAAAUCGUUAUGUUUUGAAAAUCUAUGGAUUUUUGAAGCCUCUUUCUCUGAUACCGAAAGACUCAUUGCAGUUCCAAUGGAGCCAAAAUUUGAGUUGCCCUCUGAUGAGUGAUGAGGUGACCACAGUAGUGUCAAUCGACCUAGCAACUGUGAUAGUUCAGAGGAUUAUGACCGAGCAUAUUACUCACUGCAGUUCCAAUGGAGCCAAAAUUUGAGUUGCCCUCUGAUGAGUGAUGAGGUCUAUCUUCAUGCCUAAUAUUAUGGAAAAUGAUAAUUCUGGCAUGUCAUAUACGAGCAAGAGUUGAUUGGUAUAUAUGGUCAUAUACGAGCAAGAGUUGAUUGGUAUGUAGGAAUGCUCAUCUCUUGAGGCAACACUGGAAAUUUGAGGAGGCAUAAACUGGUAAAAUUAUUUAGAUAUAUCGUUCCCCGCCACUCUCAACCCAAAAAGUCCACCAGGACUGGUGCGUAGCACGGGUUACGUGCUAGAUCACGGAACAAACGAUACGAAAGGGAAUAAUGACAACAAUCAAAACCAGCAAAAUCUCAUAUUCACAAUAAUAGAAGAAGGGAUAUGCUCGCGUCCGGUUAUAGCAAGAAUCAAGAGAAGAUGGAAUGGAAUUAACAAUAAGACGGGAUAUGUUUAUAACUUGGAGAUGAUACUCAGAGAUUCAGAGGUUCCAAGCAAUCCAUUGCCACCAAACCGGAACAACAAAGAACUCGAGUGUUGUGGAUGUAUCUCAUUAUAAUCCUGGCUUAUGGUUUGCACAAGUGAGAACCUGGCUUAUGCAAAAAUAGGGGUAGAUCUCUAUAUUGUCAUUUGAGGUGUAGGUGUGUUCAAGGGUAUGGACUGGUGGCGUGGUGUACUACUGGUGGCGGGUCGUCAAUGAGCUGAUGUUAGACAAGUUGUGGCAUGGACUGACUGCUAUGUGGUGGAUGCCAGCAGGUGAUUAUGUCAAGGUGGUCAUCAACUGGUGACAGUGGAGUUCUGCUGAUUGUAGCGAAUGGGUGAUGAGUUUUCUGUUUUUUUUUUUCCUGAAGUUGGUAUAGGGCUGGUGAGGAAGUGUAGGAGAGAAUCGAAAAGGUCUACUCGUGUGAAUGUUUCGCGGAGGAGCUUCUGGUGUUGUUAGUGCCAAAAUUAAGUUUCUGUAUGUUUAUUUUUUAUUUUCUUUAAGCAAAUACAGUAUUUGAAUUUUUGAAUUUCACGGUUGAACUACAUGAAUUUUAGAAGUUUUUGUAUUUAAUCUAAAUGGGGAUGCAAUGCAAUGGGUUUUCUGAAA
This is a long non-coding RNA of Papaver somniferum (opium poppy), 2466 nucleotides long. RefSeq lists it as uncharacterized. The record is from RefSeq and is a predicted model, not a curated record. The transcript is spliced from 11 exons. Lineage: Eukaryota; Viridiplantae; Streptophyta; Magnoliopsida; Ranunculales; Papaveraceae.